Molecule: ribosomal RNA, 256 nt
Filed under: unidentified soil organism R6-13
Description: partial 16S ribosomal RNA
Rfam family: Bacterial small subunit ribosomal RNA
Source: RNAcentral
CAAACCAACAAUGGGGANCCAAUCGGGGAAAGCCUGUCUCAGUUCGGAUUGGAGUCUNCAACUCGACUCCAUGAANCUGGAGUUNCUAGUAACCGUAGGUCAGCACACUNCGGUGAAUACGUUCCCGGGUCUUGUACACACCGCCCGUCACACCACGAAAGUCGGCAACACCUGAAGCCACUGAGCUAACCCCUUUGAGGGAUGCAGGUGUCGAGGGUGAGGUCGGUGAUUGGGGUGAAGUCGUAACAAGGUAUCC